AAAAAUGCAUUUUUUUGAAAUCCAUGCCUGUAACUCCAUAGUUAAUAGAUAAAAAAUCCUGAUCCUAUGCAUGGUGCUGUGCUCACAUGAAUGGAUAAGGCCAAAAGGUGCCAGCUACAAAGCACUAGUGGGAUCUGUGCUAGUCAGGUAACUCGAACAGUUGCCUGGUCGUAACACGCAGAGCUAAACAGCUAUGGAGAAAUGUUUGAACAUAAUUCUUAACUUGACAUUUUGAAAAAUAAAAGGAUGCUUCAAGGAUAAGAAGUCUUGAAAAUCAGAGAAUGGCAGCUGCAAUUCACUCUUCAAAAUAUGACAUAUGACAUGUAUUAAAAAUGUUGGGUAAAAGUUUUAUUUGACACUGAAAGAUUAAUUUGAACAUUAACUGGCAUUUAUAAUCAACUCUAUUACAUUGUCUCUUUUCCAUCAUUCAGGAUUUUUUUUAACAAAUGACAGCAAAUAAGACUUGACUGAUGAUUGACUGACCUAAAAGAUUUAAGUAAGUAGCAGCCAAGCUACCCUCAGUCUCCUUGUGCGUUUGUUUCCCUUUAAAACAGAAAUCUGAUUUGCCUUGGCAGUCAUCUGGCAUGACACAGCACGUUUUUAUCUUUUAGAUGUGGGAAUUGCCAAACUGGAUCCAACCCUGAGUCCCAGGUUAUUGUUUUUGUUGGCAGUCAGCACCAUCUGCCCUCAAGUAAAGAACUCUAGCACAUAAUAUACAGGAUAAAUAAUCUCCACCAGGAGAUAGGUGAGAAAGCUGGAUUUGGUCCUGAAACAUAGUGGUAGGGUUUGUUGGUUUUUUUUUGUUGUGUUUUUGGGUUUUUUUGGGGUUUUUUUUAUAUUUAUCAUUAUAACUGUAUGUUAGCUACAUGUAUUUUUAAUUAUUUCUUGAAGAGAGAGUUCAGCUAUGUUUAUAAAAUACCAAACAUCGUUCAAAUAACUCCUAAAUUUGAAGAAUGCAAGUUCUUCAGAGAGAAUACAUGAAACGAAGUUUUUACUUAAGUGUCUGCUAAUCAAUUUUUAAGUCUCUAAACUCUUUGUGAAAUGAUUAGCCUAGAUUCAUUGAAAUACCUCCUAAAAUAAAAAUAUGUCAUCUA
Long non-coding RNA from Lepidothrix coronata (blue-crowned manakin), 1094 nucleotides. RefSeq lists it as uncharacterized. The record is from RefSeq and is a predicted model, not a curated record. The transcript is spliced from 2 exons. Lineage: Eukaryota; Metazoa; Chordata; Aves; Passeriformes; Pipridae.